This 1441-nucleotide ribosomal RNA is filed under the name metagenome. RNAcentral's name for it is "SSU rRNA". It matches the Rfam family "Eukaryotic small subunit ribosomal RNA", at positions 260 to 1771 of the family's 1831-position model. The record is from RNAcentral.
CUUGUCGGACCGAGGUUCUGCCUCGGCAGUUCAUUCAAGUUUCUGCCCUAUCAGCUUUCGAUGGUAGUGUAUUGGACUACCAUGGCCACAACGGGUAACGGAGAAUAAGGGUUCGGUUCCGGAGAGGGAGCCUGAGAAACGGCUACCACUUCUAAGGAAGGCAGCAGGUGCGUAAAUUACCCAAUCCUGACUCAGGGAGGUAGUGACAAGAAAUAACAAUCCGGGGUCGUUACGGCUUCUGGAAUUGCAAUGGACCGAAUUUAAAAGACUCGGUGAGGAACAAUUGGAGGGCAAGUCUGGUGCCAGCAGCCGCGGUAAUUCCAGCUCCAAUAGCGUAUAUUAAAGUUGUUGCGGUUAAAAAGCUCGCAGUUGAACUUCUGUUUCUGAGGAUAAGCACCCGCGAGUCACCAGAAACAUCCGCCUGAGAACGCUUCGCGUCCUUAACUGGGCGGUGGUGCAAUCAGGCACUUUACCUUGAAUAAAUUAGAGUGUUUCAAGCAGGCCUACGCCCUGAAUACACAAGCAUGGAAUAAUGGAAUAGGACUAGGGUCCAUUUUAUUGGUUAUUGGCUCUAGUAAUGAUUAAUAGGGACAGUUGGGGGCAUUAGUAUUUAAUUGUCAGAGGUGAAAUUCUUGGAUUUAUUAAAGACUGACUAGUGCGAAAGCAUUUGCCAAGGAUGUUUUCAUUAAUCAAGAACGAAAGUUAGGGGAUCAAAGACGAUCAGAUACCGUCCUAGUCUUAACUAUAAACUAUACCAACUAGGGAUUGGUCGGAUGUCUAAUUCGAUCAGCACCUAAUGAGAAAUCAAAGUCUUUGGGUUCCGGGGGGAGUAUGGUCGCAAGGCUGAAACUUAAAGGAAUUGACGGAAGGGCACCACCAGGAGUGGAGCCUGCGGCUUAAUUUGACCCAACACGGGGAAACUUACCAGGGCAAGACAUUGGUGGGAUUGACAGAUUGAGAGCUCUUUCUUGAUUCGUUGGGUAGUGGUGCAUGGCCGUUCUUAGUUGGUGGAGUGAUUUGUCUGGUUAAUUCCGUUAACGAACGAGACCUUAACCUGCUAACUAACCUGCUUAUCUAGCAUGAGUAUGGUUUCUUAGAGGGACUAUGCACGUAAGUGCAUGGAAGUUUGAGGCAAUAACAGGUCUGUGAUGCCCUUAUAUGUCCUGGGCCGCACGCGCGCUACAAUGACACGUUCAGCGAGUUCCCCUGUACCGAAAGGUUACGGGAAAUCUUUUUAAAACGUGUCGUGCUGGGGAUCGAUCUUUGGAAUUAUAGAUCAUGAACGAGGAAUUCCUAGUAAGCAUGAGUCAUCAGCUCAUGCUGAUUACGUCCCUGCCCUUUGUACCCACCGCCCGUCGCUCCUACCGAUUUGAGUGAAAAGGCGAACCUUCUGGACCAAAGGGGUCUAGAACCUCUGCGGGAAGUUAAGUAAACCUUAUCA